Molecule: long non-coding RNA, 6466 nt
Organism: Dreissena polymorpha
Lineage: Eukaryota; Metazoa; Mollusca; Bivalvia; Myida; Dreissenidae
Exons: 2
Source: RefSeq, a predicted model, not a curated record
UUUCCCAGUUUUGCUUUAAAUAGUAACUUAUCGACAGUAGUUCAUCAAUCUUUAAAAAAUGGACAGCCGACAUAUUACAAACAUAUAAAAGGAGUGAAAAUUGAACAAACAGGUUCUGUAUUAUGUGAACCUUUAAGUUAUGAAAAGGAAAUCAAAACGAAAAAAGAAUGGGUUUUGCUGACUGCGUUAAACCUGUGUAGUAUUUGCUGUCGUGAUCACCCAAAGAAUAAGAUCAUGAGAAAAUAUGUGCUAUGGAAAAACUAGGAAAAAAUACGCCGACGGACGAAUCAACGUAUUCGGAAAUGAAAAAGAUAGCAGUGUGUCAUGAGAAUGCACGUGAGUUUGAGUGUGCAGAUCGGAUUCAGUUUACACUUGUACUGUUCUUAUUAAGGAAACAUAAGCAUUAACAUCAACGCUUUGGUUUAUUCGUUAAUUCAAUGAACAAUAGACCUAGUGACCAUAGGUAAACAAAGCAUACACAAAUUAAUAAACCUAUACAAGGCAGUCAUCUGUGAAAUGUGAUGAAUUAUAAAUAAAUAUAACUCUCCGUUAUAAUACACGUUCACAGUCAUGAUACUGGAUAUAUUAUAAUGAGAAAAUACUACAUGUACCGGUGUAUAAUAAAUAAAAAACAAGAGCACCGCAUAACGGGUGCCAACGCUCGGCUGUGGGUACAGUUUUGAAUAAAUGAAAGCUUGUCAAUUUUUUUAGUGGUGACCUGAACCUUUGACCUAGUGACCUUAAAUGGGUGUGGCGUGUAGAACGUUUCAAGGUACAUCUACAUAUUAUGAAGUUUCAAAGUUGAAGGUGGAAGCACUUUGAUUUUAGAGCCAAUCUUAAGGUUUUAGCACUGCAGACGCCGGAUGGCGGAACACGAGCUGGCUAUGACAAUACCUCGGGUUUUCUCCGAAAACAGCCGAGCUAAAAACACAGCAGCAGGUAGAGGAAGAAGUUAAGUGUGCAAAACUGAAGGUGGUUAUCGCAAUAAUACUUUAUGAUCUGAAAUAGCUAUGUUACUGUUAACAUGGUAUGCGAGGAAAAGGAUUGUUUCUGUGAAGAUCUCGAUGGUAUGCGAGGAAAUGGAUUGUGUCUGUGAAGAUCUCGAUGGUAUGCGAGGAAAAGUAUUGCGUCUGUGAAGAUCCCGAUGGUAUGCGAGGAAAAGGAUUGCGUCUGUGAAGAUCCCGAUGGUAUGCGAGGAAAAGGAUUGUGUCUGUGAAAAUCCCGAUGGUAUGCGAGGAAAUAGAUUGUGUCUGUAACGAUCCCGAUGGUAUGCGAGGAAAAGGAUUGUGUCAGUGAAGAUCCCGACGGUAUGCGAGGACAAGUAUUGUGCCUGUGAAGAUCCCGAUGGUAUGCGAGGAAAAGAGUUGUGUCUGUGAAGAUCCCGAUGGUACGCGAGCAAAAGGAUUGUGUCUGUGAAGAUCCCGAUGGUAUGCGAGGAAAAGGAUUGUGUCUGUGAAGAUCCCGAUGGUAUGCGAGGAAAAGGAUUGUUUCUGUGAAGAUCCCGAUGGUAUGCGAGGAAAAGGAUUGUGUCUGUGAAAACCCCGAUGGUAUGCGAGGAAAAGGAUUGUGUUUGUGAAGAUCCCGAUGGUAUGCGAGGAAAUGGAUUGUGUCUGUGAAGAUCCCGAUGGUAUGUGAGGAAAAGGAUUGUGUCUGUGAAGAUCCCGAUGGUAUGCGAGGAAAAGGAUUGUGUCUGUGAAGAUCCCGAUGGUAUGCGAAGAAAUGGAUUGUGUCUGUGAAGAUCUCGAUGGUAUGCGAGAAAAGGAUUGUGUUUGUGAAGAUCCCGAUGGUAUGCGAGGAAAAGGAUUGUGUCUGUGAAGCUCCCGAUGGUAUGCGAGGAAAAGGAUUGUGUCUGUGAAGAUCCCGAUGGUAUGCGAGGAAAAGGAUCGUGUCUCUGCACUCUUAUCUUAUUAGCUUACAAGAAUCACGAACGCAGUUUCCUCCAACCCAGACAAAAUAAGAUAUAAUGCCAUUAUUCAACAUUACGUUUCAUUCUUUUGCUGAUUAAAUAGGGAAACUAAAUUGACAAAAAAUAUUCCUAAUAACUUCGACAAAGAACAAAUCGAUUCAUGAUUGACUUUUCUCAUCGACAACGUUUAAAGUUUAUUGUUCAUAAAACACUUCUUGCAAAACUUACACAAUUAAACAUUUUGAGUAUAUGGCUUCAUAUCUACAAUAUAAUACAUUGAUAACACUUUGUGAUUUUAAAAACAAACCAUCGCUUAGAUUUAAUUAUUUCAACAAUGACCCUAGUAUACAUAUCUUCAUAUAACCUGUUCAACAAAGUUUACGUUUAAGUUUUGUAUCUUUUGAUUAUAACGCACUUUCGAUUUGAAAGUCCAAGGUUUGCUACGUGAUCAAACACCUGUAUCCGUGUAUAUGUGCUUUGUUAAAUAGGUUUGUAUGCGCCUUAUUCGUUGACAUAUAAAUACAAUUAUGAUGAACGGUGUAAAAAGUUUAAGAAAAUUGAAAAAAAUCGGAUGCUGUUGAAAAGGGCCUUUGCAAAAUGACAAAGUCAGUCAGCAGUCGUGUUUCCAUUCAACUUUACCAGUUUCUUGAUGAGUCGGGUUUUCACGAAAAUGAUAUAAAAGAACGAAUAUGUAUGAUGGAUAAGUGUACCAUUGCUUAAACCUUGUCAACACGUAGACUACAAAAGCGUGACGAUAUUUCUAGAAUCUUUGUGGGAAGUCAGCGUGAAGGCAUUGGUUUAUCGUAUCUUAAUGACAUAGAUGGUCUACAGAUAUACUAUACAUGUAUUUGUUUGGAAAAUAGUAUAGCGUCGUAUAAGACAACACAUACAAAAGCGUGGUUGGAAUUAGACAACACACGAACACCGCCAAGACAUUACUUCCUUAAAGCCAACGGGCCGUUUGAAAAAGUACGACUUUAUGGUAAUAUUCAGGAUCAUCUUAUACAGCGCUUUUGAGAAACUUACCUUUCUGCCGAAAAAUUCAUGGCAAAAAACGACGAUAUGGUUGCUUCUCCCGACAGCUAUCUUGGUAAACACACCGUUUUUAUGGAUCGUCAGGGUCCCUCUUGGCCAAAGAGAGACACCACUAUUCAAACGCGCUUUCUGGCAAGAUUCUGUUCUUUAAAUUUAUAUGAAAAAAUAGAUUACGUUCGUGGUUUCCCGUGUUAUUGCAAGACUAUUUUGACUAAUUGGUCGUGUAGAGACCGCGGGGCAUACACAAUAUCGGAUACGUUGUAAGUCUUCCGGCAGUUGUGGUACCAGUGGCACAAAAAGGAACAGCACAUUCAGAUCUUCAGUGGAGGCUAUGUUUUACACUUGGCGAGAUGUAUCUACUUCGUACGCUAAACAAUACGCAUAUGAAAGUGUAUGUGGUAUUGAAAAUUUUAGCUAAGUAUAUAUUAAAACCUGUAUGUCCUGAGAUAUCUUCGUUCGUAAUGAAAAAUGUGCAAUUUUGGCAGACUGAAAAACUUCAUUCAACGAUUUUCGGCCAGACAAUCUAGUGACCUGCCUCAGGAAUGCGCUAGAAUACCUAAAACUUUGCUAAAAGACAAACAAUCUUCCAUACUGCAUGAUACCUGAACGGAAUCUGCCACUCAAUAAGAUUUCUUGGCAACAACGAGGACAUGCAAUUAACAAACUAAACGAUAUCCUGAACAAUGGAGUUAAACACUUCAACAGUUAUACGCUGAAUGUGUCUCAUUAUCUAACGGAUUAUGCAGGAACAAUUGUUGAAGAUAUCGUUCUAGGAAGUUUGCUCAGUAAGUCAACUCUCUUCAAAUGUAGCGUUAUGAAUGCUGUUGGUCUUACAAAUUAUUUUGAAUCGAUUAGCAAGAAGAGAUUAUAUAUAGUUGCUUACUGUACCACAUAAAGAAUGUUGUUAUACCAAUGAUAUACACGUAAGAUUUUAUCAAUUUUAAGCGUUAAUUUCAAUGUGGACAUUCCUUGCAAAAUAGACAUUUUGGAAAGCUUCCGACGGAGCGAAUUAACGAACUCUGAACGGUCUGUUUGAUUGCAUCGAGAAGACGUAGUACUGCCUGCAUCAGUUCCAGAGAUGACAUUUCCUUGUGACAUCCUUAAAGAAGAAGAAAGAAUCAAAUGUACACUUGAAUUAACAUAUUCAAUGAGAAAACGUUUAUAAGAAAUAAGUGGUUCUUUUUUCAUAAAAAACAUUGUAUACAAGAAAAGGUCACAUCAAGCAAAAUAAUGAAACAAGAAAAAACAUAUUUGAUCACGCGUUCGCAAUUAAAAAACGAAUAAAAAGACAUACUAAAUACGGGGUUUGACAUUCAUUUGCGGCAUUUGGUAAGCAAGUCCACUGUCUAUAAUGUCAUUGAUCUUGCAAUGUAAUUUAAACCACUGUUCGACCAGAAAUUGUAUUUCUGUGUCUUGCUGCGCUAUACUCGAAAGAACUUACCGCUUUCAGAAAUCCAUUUAUUGUCGAUAUUUAUUGCGAAAUGGACACUUGAGGAAGUUUUGGAAAAAUCCAAUUUACAAAGACCGAGCGGACUGUUGAAAGUGUAUGUGGUAUUGAAAAUUUUAGCUAAGUAUAUAUUAAAACCUGUAUGUCCUGAGAUAUCUUCGUUCGUAAUGAAAAAUGUGCAAUUUUGGCAGACUGAAAAACUUCAUUCAAUGAUUUUCGGCCAGACAAUCUAGUGACCUGCCUCAGGAAUGCGCUAGAAUACCUAAAACUUUGCUAAAAGACAAACAAUCUUCCAUACUGCAUGAUACCUGAACGGAAUCUGCCACUCAAUAAGAUUUCUCGGCAACAACGAGGACAUGCAAUUAACAAACUAAACGAUAUCCUGAACAAUGGAGUUAAACACUUCAACAGUUAUACGCUGAAUGUGUCUCAUUAUCUAACGGAUUAUGCAGGAACAAUUGUUGAAGAUAUCGUUCUAGGAAGUUUGCUCAGUAAGUCAACUCUCUUCAAAUGUAGCGUUAUGAAUGCUGUUGGUCUUACAAAUUAUUUUGAAUCGAUUAGCAAGAAGAGAUUAUAUAUAGUUGCUUACUGUACCACAUAAAGAAUGUUGUUAUACCAAUGAUAUACACGUAAGAUUUUAUCAAUUUUAAGCGUUAAUUUCAAUGUGGACAUUCCUUGCAAAAUAGACAUUUUGGAAAGCUUCCGACGGAGCGAAUUAACGAACUCUGAACGGUCUGUUUGAUUGCAUCGAGAAGACGUAGUACUGCCUGCAUCAGUUCCAGAGAUGACAUUUCCUUGUGACAUCCUUAAAGAAGAAGAAAGAAUCAAAUGUACAGUAAGAUGUACAAAAUUAAACAUACAUUUAUGUUGGAAGUUGCAUGAAGAUUUCGUGGAAGAAAAUGGACAGAAUAACCACAAAAAGGACAAAAAGACGAUUGAAAUAAAUGCUGAUCAUUACAUUUUAGAGAUUGCUGGAUCCAACGACGCGUGUACGAAAGUUAUUUGUAGCAUUACAACGCUCAAAUACAAGUUAUUGUUCCUAGCUAUUCUAACAAAUGUUUUCAUGAUGAAUCUUUGUUUGGAUUUGUUUGAGCUUUUUUCAGCUGGAUUAUUUGCAGAUGAGUUUUUUUUUUAGGCUUAUAAUUCUAGUUCAAGACUGUAUUCUACUGUUUAUUGCUUAUUGGAAAUGCCGAACCUGUAAAAGAUUGGAUGUUUAUGUACAUUCUGCACGAACAAAAUUUGAUCGGACAUCGUGUACAACUAGCGACAGUGUCAUAGUGGAACAAUGCGUAAGACUUGCUCGGUCAAUAUCUCCAUUAUAAUAAAAUAUAACUUGAAUUAACAUAUUCAAUGAGAAAACGUUUAUAAGAAAUAAGUGGUUCUUUUUUCAUAAAAAACAUUGUAUACAAGAAAAGGUCACAUCAAGCAAAAUAAUGAAACAAGAAAAAACAUAUUUGAUCACGCGUUCGCAAUUAAAAAACGAAUAAAAAGACAUUCAUUUGCGGCAUUUGGUAAGCAAGUCCACUGUCUAUAAUGUCAUUGAUCUUGCAAUGUAAUUUAAACCACUGUUCGACCAGAAAUUGUAUUUCUGUGUCUUGCUGCGCUAUACUCGAAAGAACUUACCGCUUUCAGAAAUCCAUUUAUUGUCGAUAUUUAUUGCGAAAUGGACACUUGAGGAAGUUUUGGAAAAAUCCAAUUUACAAAGACCGAGCGGACUGUUCGCGAAAAAAAUGCAUUAUAUGGAGAAGACUAUACAAAACUAUAAAAUAUCGUUUAAAAGAUAGCAUAAUAAUUUAAAGAAUGUGGUAUUCAGCUGUUAGCAUCCAUAUAUGUUUGAAGUUGCAAGAAGAUCAUGUCACCGUGUAAAAUAGGGAGCAACAACCAAGAGCAGGCACACUGGCAAUGAUAAAUCACGAUUAUAAGAUUUGUGAUAUUGUGAUGGCUCGCAUAACACCGCGAGUGAUAUAGGGUGCUGGUUGUACUAAUAAAAUGAAAUAAUAAAAUGUUUAAAAUAUACCAAUAUGUGGUGUAUGUAAAUGACAUUCACAAUAGUGUCGCUAUUAAAUGAUUAUUGUAUU